Molecule: ribosomal RNA, 389 nt
Filed under: uncultured bacterium
Lineage: Bacteria
Description: bacterial SSU rRNA
Rfam family: Bacterial small subunit ribosomal RNA
Source: RNAcentral
ACUCCUACGGGAGGCAGCAGUGGGGAAUAUUGCACAAUGGGCGCAAGCCUGAUGCAGCCAUGCCGCGUGUAUGAAGAAGGCCUUCGGGUUGUAAAGUACUUUCAGCAGUGAGGAAGGUGGAUAUGUUAAUAGCAUAUUCAUUUGACGUUUAGCUGCAGAAGAAGCACCGGCUAACUCCGUGCCAGCAGCCGCGGUAAUACGGAGGGUGCGAGCGUUAAUCGGAAUUACUGGGCGUAAAGCGCAUGCAGGUGGUUUGUUAAGUCAGAUGUGAAAGCCCGGGGCUCAACCUCGGAAUUGCAUUUGAAACUGGCAAACUAGAGUACUGUAGAGGGGGUAGAAUUUCAGGUGUAGCGGUGAAAUGCGUAGAGAUCUGAAGGAAUACCGGGUGC